Acinonyx jubatus (cheetah) is the source of this 9702-nucleotide RNA transcript. It is a transcript of the gene named zinc finger protein 584, with no coding region annotated. The transcript is spliced from 6 exons. Lineage: Eukaryota; Metazoa; Chordata; Mammalia; Carnivora; Felidae. The record is from RefSeq and is a predicted model, not a curated record.
CACACACACACAACUAUAUAUCUAUCUAUAUCUAUAUCUAUAUCUAUGUCUAUAUUAGUUGUAUUGUUUGGCUUAUAACAAAUAGAAAUAUACUUUCCAUUAGCAACACAAUGGAGGUGAGUGGGACACAGCUAUAUUGGCUCAAGGAAAUGGCUCCAGUGAGUAUCUCAAAUUCAACACAUGGGCGUAUUUAUUUGUCCAACUUCAUCAAAUUUUGCACUUGAAAGGAGUGCAUUUUGUUGUACAUAAGCUACACAUUAAUCAAGUUGACUUAAAAAAAUUCCACUUAGAAAAUGGGCAAAAACUUAAGAUAUUUCACUAAAGCAGAUAUAUGAUCCAUAUCCAUAUAUCCCUAUAUAUCCAUAUGUGCAAAUACAUGCAUGGAAAGAUGUUCAAUAGCAAUUACUGGUGGGAACGUAAAAUAGUACAGCUACUCUGGAAACAAUUUGGCAGUUUAGUAUACACUUACUGUACAACUCUACAAUUGCAUUCUUGGGUUUAUCACCUCCCUGACACAAACAAUGACAACUCAUGUCCACACAAAAAUGAAAACAUGUUCAGAGAGAACCGAAUACAAAUGUUAGUGGCAGUGUUAUUUGUAAUAAUAAUAAUAAUAAUAAUAAUAAUAAUAAUAAUGCAGACAGCCCAGAUGUCCCUCAAUAGGUCAAUAGCUAAACAAACUGUGGUAUAGCCACACUAUUCAGCAAUUAAAAAGGAACAAGCUACUGACACACACAACUUGGAUGGAUCUCAAGUGCAUUAUGAUGAAUGGUGAAAGCCCAAAGUAUAUCCCAUCCAUACUAUAGGAUUCCAUUUACAGGACAUUCGUGAUGUGGCACAAAUAUAGUGAUGGGGGACAGAUCAAUGGUCGUUAGGAUUGGGAGAAGGUGUGACCUAAGGGUUAGUUAGAAGAGCUCCCUUGUGAAAUGGAACAGCUCUGUAGUGGAUGGUGGUGGUGGUAGUAAUAUGAAUUUAAACAUAUGAUAAUAUUUCGUAGAACUACAUAAAGAGUAUAUGUGAAAAUUGCUGUCAUCUGAAUAAGGUCUGUGGUUGAGUUAAAAGUACUGUAUUAAUACUAUUUUCCUGGCUUUGACAAUGUACUAUGGUUACAUACAUUGAGGGAAGCUGGACGAAGGGUACAUGGGAUCGGUUUUGCAACAUCUUUCAAAGUACUUCAAAAUAGAAAGUAUUUAAAAAAUUCCUUGAAUGUAUAUGUCCAAUUGAGUGUGGAAACAAAAAAAAAGCACUAUGAAAUAAGAAUACAUAUCUAUUAGAAUGGCUAGUGUAAGGUAAACACACAUACUACUGUGCUUACAAAAGGGCCAGGCAAACAGUCCUUGUGGCAUACAUGAGGAAGCUCACUGGGAUUAAUAUUGCUGUAAGACCCUCACAGACACUGCUGGGCUUUAUAUGGGAGGUAGAAUAGGGGGUCAGAGCCACUUCUCCACAGGGUCACUGGUCUCAUCUGUCAAUCCAUAAAGUACACUGACCCCUCAACCUAGCAGGAAGACUUAUAUGGAAUGUUUGUACUUUGAUAAGGGAGCACAUCACAAAAUACAGGCAGGACUCUUGCCCAAGGGAUGUAUUCUUACAUGCUAUAUCAUUCCCAACUAGAGACAUGCAAGAAUAAUUCCCCCUAGACUAUGCAGAGAGAAGGGUCUACACUGUUUCAAAUUCAAUGUAUAAAAUGUGAUUCUGUAUCUUAUACUUUCAAAUCCACACACUUCAAACUUGCAUCAUAUGUAACCACCAUGUCCUGCUACAUGCAAAAUGGUACACAGAGGCAAGGGGGUCAGAACUUAGGGAGUCAGGCUGAGCUGAGUUUGUACCUGGGCUCCCAUGUGACUGUGGGUACAAUGCCUCACCACUCUGUGUCCAUUUCCUUACGUAUAAAAUGGGGAAAUUAGGCGCCUGGGUGGCUCAGUCGGUUGAGCUUCCGACUUCGGCUCAGGUCAUGAUCUCACGGUCUUUGAGUUUGAGCCCCACGUCGGGCUCUGUGCUGACAGCUCGGAGCCUGGAGCCUGUUUCGGAUUCUGUGUCUCCCUCCUCUCUGACCCUCCCCCGUUCAUGCUUUGUCUCUCUCUGUCUCAAAAAUAAAUAAACAUUAAAAAGUAAAUAAAUAAAAUAAAAUGGGGAAAUUACAAUCAGCCCAUGGUGGGUGAGAAUACCAACAUUUGAAUGCCAGCAAUGGAAGCUCAGAAUCACUGCUCAGUCUCUGUAUGGCUGUAUGGACACUCCCACCUUCAGUCACACUCCACAACCUUUCACAACUGGUUGGCAGGAAGUAUCUCCCAACUGCUAACAGCCUCCCAUGCUGCACUGUGAUCUGGAUAUUUCCAGGUGUCCACCUGCUGUGGCAACCCAAACUGCACCCUCCUCUUGCCAUCCUUCAGGAAGCCAGUCCUAAGUAGAUGUCCUACAUUUAGGGGUGCCUGGAUGGCUCAGUCAGUUAAGCAUCCGACUCUUGAUUUUGGCUCAGGUCAUGAACUUGUGGUUUCAAGAUUGAGUCCCAUGUCGGGCUCCACACUGAUUCUCUCUCUCUCCCUCUCUCCCUUUGUCCCUCUCCCCUGCUUGUGCUGUCUCCCCGCCCCCCCCCCCCCCACCGCCAAAAAAAGAUGUCCUACAUUUAGGGUCACCCUGCCACCUUCCCAGUAAGACUCCAUUAUCUCAUUACCUGUCCUUGUGGUCCCUAAAGAAGCACUAAACCUUUAAUCUGAAAAGUAAAACUACUGAGGUCCAAGAAGUCAACCUCAGGAAGUAACACAAAUAAAAACCAUAAUGAGCUGUGAAUGCAAGCCCAAGAAAGAUGAGUAAAGAGAGGAAACUUCAGUCCGAGAACACUUGGGUUCAAAUUGUAGUGCUGUCGCCUACCAGUUGUGACCAAGUAAGCAUGAGCGUCUGCCCACACCCAAGACAGGGAAGCCUGGCUCACUGAGGAAUGGGCUUUCUAGAACUACUUAAGAAUGUGUAUCUGCCCAAGACAUGUUGAAGAUGGCCAAUGUUUUCAGCAGAAAGAAGGGAGAGGGGAGGUGAGACAUGGAAGACAGAGAGGUGAGGGACAGCCAGGAUAGAGGAGUCAGGGAAGUAGAUGAGAGGGUAGAUUGUCCAUUAAGUCAGGAAGAUAGAAAAGUCACAAGGGUAGUGGCCAUGGCACUUGGACACCAGAGGUACAGCUCAGGCUCCAGGCACAAGAAUAGUCUAACCCCAGAGACACUCCAGUCCCCAGCUUGCAAUCUCGAUGGGUGAGCCUCUUCAGGACCUCUCAUGCAUCCUUGGUUUCAAGUCUACCUGGUCCAUCAGUGCUCUUGACAGUACUCUAAUCAGGUGACCUCAUGGAGUGGAAAGGUGAUAAUCAUGCAGGGAAUACAUAGUCCUAGGCUCAGAGUCCAGCCUAGGCUAGAACAAUCCACCCAAUGACAGUAGUCUGUGGCCACUAACCACAGGCAUGUACCAUGUGGUGAGGGCAGUCCCACCUGUGCCUGCCUUCUUGGAGAGAAUACACAGGUGUAACUGAGGAACAGGGUUGCGAGGACUAUCUGAAGAUAUCUGAUCAACUGAGGACCUGUUAAUAGGAGGUAAACAUUGCACAGCCAGGGGGCUGGAGUCAGGAUUGUAAAGAGGAUGAAAAAACACUAGGGGGUCAGGGAGGCACCAAGACCUGAGAUGGCAUGGACCAGACGCUAGGUGUGAGAAUAGCCCACCUCGGGCAGUCACCAGGGCAGGUCUCCUCAUCAAUUCCAUUGGGAUAACCACAGGGAACGUAGAAACCAACAGAGCCAUGGGAGCUGAUGAGGUUUGUGAGAAUCCACCCCAAGAGGACCAAACUACCCCUCAACAGACCAUAACCCAUGAGGAUCAUCUGUAUAUGAACAAUACUGAAAAUCCACAAACUGAAUGUUCAGGGAAGGUCUCCAAGGCAGAGCCCAGUGGCCCCACAAUCACCACGUCAGUGCAUGAAAUGCUGGGUAUCUUAGAGAAAGUGACUGAGCUGGACAUGACCUGCUGCAAAGAUUUAGACUUCUGACCCGAUUUCAGCCACUCAUGGCCCCUUGAUAGAAUGUGUGUGUGUGUUUGGGGGGGGGGUUGUUCACAGCAGUCAGGGAGAGAAGGAAACAUAGCCUGGGGGCCGCAGCUACAGGACCACCACAAACUUGCAAGGCGAACACAGCAAGAGCAAAGAAAACAGAGUUCUAGGUGUGGGAGUAAGGAAGCCAGUGGCCCGACCCAGAGGUCACCAGUGCAAAGUUCUCAAGCAUCACCCUGGGGUAGGUUGCUCUGAGACUCGUCUAAGUGUUCCAUUCUUCCUAGGAGACUCGGCACCACAUCCUCUAGGAUGAGUGCAUCUGAAUCCACUGCACGACAUCCAGGAGCCGGGUCCUUCUCCUGCUGGCCUCGCAUCUUGAUGUGCCCAGGACCUUUCUCCCUAACACCCUCAACAACGCGCUCACCCUCCUCCACAAGGCCCCCUACCUGACUAUGGCCUUACACGGGGCAGGCUAUCAGCCUACUGUCCCCUGAGCAUGUUCCAGACCCAUCCCCGGUACCCCAGACCUGCCUGAGUCCAGUGGCCCAGGCACCACCAGACUCAACACUUGUAAAGUCCAACUGCGGAUCUUCUCCAACACUUCCUCCUCCUGCCAAGGCUCCCUGGCCGCUGGUCCCCAGCUCCUCACUGAACUCAGGCUGGAGAGGCUUUUCUGAGCUCCGUCUCCUCCUCCGUGAAGCAGACACCGCGUCCGGGGCGAUGACUCCAGGGCGGCGGCGGGCACGGAUGGGCUUUGAUGGAGGUGAGACGCGAAGGUGAUGCCUCUUUACCGCCAAAAACACUUGCCAAGCUUAAGCCGCGUACAGAGCGCGCAGCCUCGUCUCAGGCCCUCUAUAUUCCAGUUUCCACCGUUCUGAGGAGCCUCCCAAAUUCCCGCCUCCGCGCAGGUACGCAGUCCGUCUGCCGGACGUGGUUCCGAAGGAGGGCGACGCCGGAAGUCCCACCUCCACGGAACGAGGGAAAGCUCCUCUCUGGGGCCGUCAUUGGCUACGUCGGUACGAACGCACAGCAGCGCCCUCCCCUGUCGCCUUGGCAACGAGCAAGCGGCACCGCGAGGGGAGCUGGGAAAUGAGGCCCUAAAGUGACGCUGGAGCUAAGUUAAUAAAGGCGUCUGGAGGCGGCCGGACUUCCGGCGUUGCUCUAGCUGUGCUCUUCUUGCAGCUGUGGGUGGAGGGCAGCACUUGGAGAGCCGCGUUGCCGAGAAGAGGGUCGGGGACCCUCGUGGCACCUGUGCGCGCGCCGUGACCCUCGGAAAUAACCCCAUUUUUCUAAGACUCGGUGUCGCCCACUGCGGAACGGGUGCCGGAGGGUCAGGGCCUCCCGCGGGCGGUUCCCUGGUCUUUGAACACAUUUUACACGGAGGAGACCUAGCUUCGAAGGUUCCGCGGUCGGCCGGAGGUUCCUGCGCCCAAGGCGGGGUGGUAGGUACGGAUUUGAGCUGAGUAGACCGGAAUUCGGCGCCUAUCGCAGCCAAGCUCCGUCCACAGCUUCCGAUGGCCGAGGAGGCGCUGGGGCUGGUGACCUUUGAGGAUGUGGCUGUGUAUUUCUCCCGGGAGGAGUGGGGGCUCCUUAAUCUGACUCAGAGGAGCCUUUACCGUGAUGUGAUGCUAGAGAACUUUGCACUUAUUGGCUCGCUGGGAUUUGCAUCUUCAAGGUGCCAUGUGGUUGCCCAGCUGGAGAGUGAAGAAGAGUUCUGGGUUCCCAGCAUGGUGGACCUGACUCUGGUCAGCAGAGUUGAGGCCAGGAGGGGUCCUGGUCUUGGUUGUCCAUGUAGCCUGAAGGAUGGGGAAACCCCUACAGAGCAGAUGAAGAGUUACAGAGUCUACCUGUCAGAGAAGCCCUCUCUGCUUGGGGAGUCUGGGAAGGACAUGCCUACCACCUUAGGUCUUCUCCGGCACCAGGCCACCCACAGCAAGGGGAAGCCACACAGGAGCACCGAGCAUGGAGAAGCCUUCCAACCCAGCUCCAGUAGCCAACAGCAGCAGGCAGUCCACGCCACACAGAAGGCCUUCAAGUGCAGUGACUGUGGGAAAGCCUUCCCAAAGGCCUUUGCGCUCCUUGACCACCUGGUAACCCACCCCAAAGAGAGACCCUUUAGAUGUCCAAAAGGUGGAAAUGCCCCCAAGGAGAAAUCCACCCAUGUUAAUUACCAAAAAAUUCACACUGGAGAAACAUCCCAUGUGUGUACUGAGUGCGGAAAGGCCUUUAGUUAUCCCUCUAAACUGAGGAAGCACCAGAAGGUUCACAUGGGCAUAAAACCUUUCAAGUGUGAUGAAUGUGGCAAAACCUUCAACCGCAAAGAUGCGCUCGUUCUGCACCAGAGAAUUCACACUGGAGAAAGGCCUUAUGAGUGUAGCGAAUGUGGGAAAGCCUUCAGCGUUCUGUCUACUCUCAUUCGGCACCGGAAAGUUCACAUUGGAGAAAGGCCCUAUGAGUGCAGGGAAUGUGGGAAGUUCUUUAAAUACAACCAUAGCUUCAUUCUUCAUCAGAGAGUUCACACUGGAGAAAGGCCUUAUGAGUGCAAGCAAUGUGGGAAAACGUAUGUGACCCGCUCUGGCCUGUAUCAGCACUGGAAAGUUCACACUGGAGAACGGCCCUAUGAGUGCAGCCUGUGUGGGAAGACCUUCACCACCAGGUCCUACCGCAAUCGGCACCAGCAGUUCCACACUGAAGAGAGGUCCUAUGAGUGUACAGAAUGUGGGAAAGCCUUCAAACAUAGUUCUACCCUUCUUCAGCACAAGAAAGUCCACACUGGAGAAAGGCCAUAAGAAGACAGGGGAUGUUGGAAAGCCUGUAGCUAGGGCUGGCACCUUGUUCAACAUGAAAAACCUCACUCCAGAAAGGAGAGGAGAGUAGCCAUUUGAAAGCUAAACUUGGCACACCCCAACACAUGCGCUGGGGUGGCAGGUGUGUGGGAAGUUUUCAGGAGCUAGGUUGCACUUGGACCUGCCUAGGCUGUUGGCAGUGUUAAGUUGCUUCCAGUUACCAUGAUACAAACCAUCUCAGCUCCACCACCUGGCAGGUGCCCAAGGUGUGCAUCAGGCACCGCAAUGUGCUCUGGAACAGCAAGACCUCCAUGGUCGCCACUCUUUAAAGGAGAGAAUCAUGAGUGGUGGAGUCCGUGAUGGGCCUCAUUUGCUCCCUCCAACUGGUUCAGGUAUGCCUGUGACCAAGCUCUGGUCAAGAGUAGCUGAGCUGUGUCUACUGGGGGCUUCCAGAGAAGGUUAAUCCUUUCCAUAGACAUCGUUUACACUACGCAUGGUACCUGUCAUGGAUUUAUCCAACCCUGGAACUGACUGUCUCACACUUCCCUGGAAUGUAUGUUUGCACUGGGCGGACCUGGAGUCUGAGACCUAGAAGAGCAGCUGGAUUUGCUGUAGUGUAAUGUCACCCUUCAUGGAUGCCACCACAUUCAGAGGUUCAUCCCCAUCUCUUCUCCAUGCAGCAAAGUAAAAUUCCCAAAGGAAUUUCACAUCAGGUCCACCAGGACAUCCAGCUCUGUGAGUAACCCCCCCCCACAUCCCCCCACCACCUGACUCUAUUUUAAAAAGAGACCUUUUAGCCAGUCUUGUUUGCUCCAUUUUGAAAUCUCCUUUUACAAAGAUGUAGUUAAUGUUCUAACAGAGGUCCAAAUAGUGGAGAGGUUUCUCCCCUUCAAGUUGGGGAAGAAAGUUGCUGGAUUCAAGCUGCUAUAGUGAGAAAAGUGAUACAUAAAAGGUUAAGACACCAUGGGUACCCCAAUAUAUCACUAUGUUCUUUAAUCCUUCUCAUAACACUUACUAGAAAUUGUCUGCUUUCAGCAAGAUCAUUUGUUUUUUAAAAAUUUUAAAAAUGUUUUUAUUUUUGAGACAGAGAGAGACAGAGCAUUAGCAGGGGAGGGGCAGAGAAAGAGGGAGACACAGAAUCCAAAACAGGCUCCAGGCCUGUGCUGUCCGCACAGAACCUGAUGCAGGGCUCAAACUCAUGGACCGUGAGAUCAUGACCUGAGCAGAAGCCGGACGCUUAACCGACUGAUCCACCCAGGCGCCCUUCAGCAAAAUCAUUUAUAUUUAGAAUCCUGGCAGCCAAAUAUCUGUGAAGGCUGUUUUCUAUAUUUUGUGCUAAAAAUUGAGUCUUUUUCUUGUAAAUUGAUAAAUCAUUGAAACAUUUUACUUUUAUAAUAAAAUUAAGAAGGUGGCAUCUUCAUUUUGUCAAUUUUAACUUUUUCUUUUAUCUGCAAUUUGGUAGAUAAAAGUGCUUUCAAAUUAUUAAAUGUGGAGGAUGCCAGACAAAAGUAAUUUGUGCUAUUAUCCUUCCCUUCAUAAAAUGAAGGAGCAGGCAUCCCUAGGUGGCUCAGUCGGUUAAGUGUCUGACUUCAGCUCAGGUCAUGAUCUCACAGCCUGUGAGUUCGAGCCCCGCAUUGGGCCUGGAGCCUGCUUCGGAUUCUGUGUCUCCCUCUCUCUCUGCCCCUUCUCUGCUCACACUCUGUCUCUGAAAAAUAAAUAAUAAACAUUAAUAUUCUUGGUUUGUUUUGUUUUGCUUUUGAGAGAGCGCGCGAGAGUGAGAGCAGGGGAGGGGCAGAGAGAGGGGGGAGAGAAGGAUCCAAAGUGAGCUCUGCACUGACAGCAGAGAUCCCGAUGCGGGCCUCAAACUCAUGAACCCUGAUAUCAUGACCUGAACCGAAGUCCGAUGCUCAACCGACUCAGCUACCCAGGCACGCCUUGUGUUAAUAUUCACUACUGUCACCAACUGGUUUUAUUCUAUAAAACUGACACUGUGUCCUGUGACCCUGAAGACUUAGCACUUCAUAUACUGGUCAUAAAGAAUCACUUUCCUUCCAUAGAUGUUAUGGACUGAAUGUCUGCAUGUCCCCAAACUUCAUAUGUUUAAGCCCUAAUCCCAGUGAUGGUAUCUAGACAAGAGGGCUCUGGGACAUAAUUAGGUUUAUUUAUUUAUUUUUUAAUGUUUUUUAUUUAUUUUAAUUUAAUUUAAAAAAUUUUUUUAAUGUUUAUAUAUAUGUGAAGGAGAGAGAGAGAUGAAGUGUGAGUGAGGAGGGGCAGAGAAAGAGGGAGACACAGAAUCCAAAGCAGGCUUCAGGCUCUGAGCUGUCAGCAUAGAGCCCAAUGCAGGGCUUGAACCCACAAACCGUGAGAUCAUGACCUGAGCUAAAGUUGGAUGCCCAACCGACUGAGCCACCCAGGCACCCCCAUAAUGUUUAUUUAUUUUUGAGAGAGAGAGAGAGAGAGAAACAGAGAGACAGAGCUCAAGUGGGGGAGGGGCAGAGAGAGAGAAGGAGACACAGAAUCCAAAGCAGGCUUCAGGCUCUGAGCUGUCAGCAUAGAGCCCAAUGUGGGGCUUGAACCCACAAACCAUGAGAUCAUGACCUAAGCCCAUGACCUGAGCUGAAGUUGGGCCCUUAAGCCACUGAGCCACCCAGGUGCCCCUGGGACGUAAUUAGUUUUAGAUGAGUUCAUGAGGGUGGUGCUCCAUAAUGGGAUUGGUGCCUUUGUGAGAAGAGGAAGAAAGGUCACACUCUCCUCUCUCUCCACCAUGUGAGGACACAGCAAGAAAGCAAGCCACAGAGAGGGUCAUCACCGGAACCCAAACAUGCUGGCACUCUGAUCUCUGACUUCCAGCCUCCAGAACUAUAAGAAAAUAAAUAUCUGUUGUUUAAACCA